AAGACUAUAGACCUGCGGAGUACCUGCGGAGGGAUCAUUACCGAUUCUAAAAAGGAUGUGCUGGCUCCUUAGCAAGUGCACUCCUUUAAACCUCAUACCCCUGUGAACCUUUUGUAGUCUAGCAUUCAAAGGAGAACUUUAGUUCUUCUGCUAUGACUAUGUUUUUAUACACUCUUUUAUAAAUGUAUAGAAUGUCUAUAGACCUUAACAAGUCUAAUAAAUGAUAAUAUAACUUUCAAC
Molecule: unclassified non-coding RNA, 240 nt
Filed under: soil metagenome
Description: partial contains 5.8S ribosomal RNA, internal transcribed spacer 2, and large subunit ribosomal RNA
Source: RNAcentral